UACGGGGGGGGCAAGCGUUGUUCGGAUUCAUUGGGCGUAAAGGGUGCGUAGGCGGCGCGGUAAGUCGGGUGUGAAAUUUCGAGGCUUAACUUCGAAACUGCAUUCGAUACUGCCGUGCUUGAGGACUGGAGAGGAGACUGGAAUUUACGGUGUAGCGGUGAAAUGCGUAGAUAUCGUAAGGAAGACCAGUGGCGAAGGCGGGUCUCUGGACAGUUCCUGACGCUGAGGCACGAAGGCCAGGGGAGCAAACGGG
Molecule: ribosomal RNA, 253 nt
Filed under: uncultured bacterium
Lineage: Bacteria
Description: partial 16S ribosomal RNA
Rfam family: Bacterial small subunit ribosomal RNA
Source: RNAcentral